Molecule: long non-coding RNA, 1949 nt
Organism: Equus caballus (horse)
Lineage: Eukaryota; Metazoa; Chordata; Mammalia; Perissodactyla; Equidae
Source: Ensembl
CAGGAAAGCACAUCCCCCACCUGACCCCAGCCACGGCCUCUUCGUCCCCCUCAGGCCCGCUCCCACUCACAGUCAUGAGGAAUACCAGCACGGCCCUGGGCUCUGCCGCGAGCACCAGCUCUGUUCCCUGGGUGCCUGGUCAAGCGGCUGCCUGGUAAUCAUUCUUUGGCCUUGCGGUUUUGAAGCCCUCCACCGUCUCUGGGCCUCCCCUCCUCCCUCCCCUCUUUACUCAGCCCCCGCCCCCCAGGCCUGAGUCUUGGGUCUCUUUUUCUGUCAAACUCCUCGGUAAAACCACAGAUGAAUGUAAACAUCCCCUCCCCGUGCGGCCCAGGGAAAGGAGGGGCAAGGGGCUCUAGGACUCGGGAAAGGCUGCUCCACCUCCUUCACGGGGGCGUAACAGAGAAACGCGGAGACCGUGUGGAAACUCUGGUCACGCCGACUACCCCUCACAGAUGACAAUGAGAAAUUCUGGACGCAAAUAUAUAUGUUUCGAAAAACAAUGUGAAGGCCCUGGAGCACGAGUAAAAGCAGGCAGAAGCUGGAAAGGAGCCGACCCCUGAAAACAGAAACUGCAGCCAGUGAGACGCAUGUUGGUGGCAACGGACUGACAGACGCUCACAAAGGAAGCUGCGGGCUUGGCUACUCAGCACAUGGAAAAGUGUGCAGCAUCAUUAGUCACCAGGGGAAUGCAAAUUAAAACCACAGGGAGACCCCACUGCACACCCAUUCUGAAAUUCAAAGACUGACCACACGGACCAUCAGUGGGGUGUGGAGAGGGGGAACUCGUAUGCCGCCGGUGGGAAUUCAGAAAUGGCACAACCAUUGCAAAACGGAUCGCCAGUUUCUUAGGAAGGUAAAUAUACACCUGACAUUUGACCCAACAAUUCCACUCCUACGUAUUAUCCAAGAGAAACGGAAUGUGUCCACAAAGGGACCUACCUCAAAUGUUGGUAGUAGCUUUAUCCGUGUUACCAAGAAACUGGAAACAACCGGCACGUCCAUCAAGUGGAGAAUGGACACACUAAGUGCAGAAUACGACACAUGGGCUACUGGGCCACGGAAAGGGAAGGAGCGGUGAAACAGCCACGUGGAUGCCCUCUCCUGCUGGCGCCUCCUAAACUGAUGCUGCUGGCCACGAGCUCCCCUUUGAGUCGAGGCACACAGGCGGCACCUCCGCACAUCUCCUGAGAACCUUCCGGGAGCACAAAGGAAAUCCGGACUUCCCCCACGAACCGGUUCCUGACCAGCUGUUCCCACUGGCUAGGUAGGACCACCAGGGAGCCUGCCGUUCAAGCUGAGAGCCCCGAGGGCCCCCUUGGUUCUUUCCUCUACCUUCCUCCCACGUUCCACAGCAAGUCCCGCAGGUUCUGCCUGCACCAGCUACCUUGGAUCGCUCCACCUCCACCGCCCGAGUCCAAGUCACGACUGUGUCGCACGCACAACGACCGGAGUGGCCUCCUAAGGGCAUUAAUUAGCUCACACCACUUACCGGCUUACAAUCCCCACCGGUCCCUCCCCUCUCUUGGAAGGACAUCCCAUCUCCUCCUUGCCCGGCCCGUGCCGCCCGCUGACCUCAUCCCCCGAGCGCCCCGGCCCGGCCUUUCCGCUCUGAGUCCCCGUCCCGGGCCGUGCUGGCGCUUCCUGCCCGGCUUGGUCAUCCCUGCAGGCGAGGGCUCCCCUCCAGCUCGAGCCGGGGCGGCCGGGGAGCUGGGCUACGGGGUCCGAAGCCCGGCCCGCCGUCUCACGCCCCAUCCUCGCUCUCACGACCUGCCCUUUUCUCUGACGCCCCCGCGGAGGAUCUAGAGCCGCGACCCCCGCCCCGGCCCGCCGCGCGCCCGGAAGUCGCGGUCCCCGGCCGCGCAUGCUCGCUCCCUCCUCCCCCCGCGCUCUCGCGUCACGUGGGAGGGCGCGCGAGCGGCCCGGGAAGUCCCGUCCGGAAACGCGAGCCG